UUUCAGGUCUUGGAUGUUAAAAAAUUUAAAAAUUCAUAAAAAAUCGAUCAAGUUUGGAUCUUAUUCACUAAAUUUUUGUUUCAAGACUAAAUUUAGUUUACAAAUAUUCAAAAAAAUUACUUUCUUUUGUUAACAGCAACAAAAAAAGUUAAAAUUUUGUCAAAAAAUUCCCAAAAAUUUAGCAACCAAAACUUGUUUUGUUAAAUUGUUAUCAAAUUCCAUCAAAAUAAGACUGAAUAUCGACAAAAAGUUUUCAUUUAAACAUGGCAGACGAGAAAAAACCCACAACAAACGACGAGCUCGCAAACGCUAAACAAGGAAUCGUCCGCCAAAAGUUCCAUCUUUACGUAGAAUUGUGUGAAAACAGCAUGAGGAUCGAAAUGCACAUGAAACGCCUCUCGAAUCUGCGGAAGGAAUUGAAUUACAUCAAAAAUACCGACUGGAAAUACGAUCCAAUUGAGAAGCCAGCGUGAAAUUAAAGUUAAUUUACUGAAAUUUAUCCGUUCCAAGUGAUUUUUCGUAGUUGAUAAGUUGUAAAAAUAAACAUUUUUUAUUUCGUAUGAACAGGUU
Molecule: long non-coding RNA, 570 nt
Organism: Culicoides brevitarsis
Lineage: Eukaryota; Metazoa; Arthropoda; Insecta; Diptera; Ceratopogonidae
Exons: 2
Source: RefSeq, a predicted model, not a curated record